This 2798-nucleotide long non-coding RNA is filed under the name Paramuricea clavata. The record is from RNAcentral. Lineage: Eukaryota; Metazoa; Cnidaria; Anthozoa; Malacalcyonacea; Plexauridae.
UGACAGGCUUGGUUUUAUAUGGAUAUCAACUCAAGAUAAGUUUUUAUGGCUUGGAGUUCAACCUAAAACAUAAAAGUCUACAUUUAGUUAUGUGCAUUCUUCUUGCUGGAGAUAUCGCUACAAAUCCAGGUCCGAAUACACCGAACAAACAGCCGACUGGCAAUUGUUCAAAUAAGGAGUUUGGUCCAUCCAUUGUCCUUGCCAAUAUGAUGUCUCUUGCACCAAAGAUCGACGAGUUGAGAUGUUUUGUUAACAAUACAAAGCCGGAUUUAAUUUCAUUAACUGACACUUGGAUCAAUGACUCUGUUAGCGAGCAUCACCUUAAAAUUCCUGGCUUCAACUUACUGCUAAAGAACCGUACGUCUGGUCCUCACGGGGGUGUCGGGCCUUAUAUAAAAAACUCCGUCAUGUUCAAAGCCCUCACUGACUUAUUCCACCAAGAAUUCGAGGUGCUUUGGACCUACAUUAGACCCGCACGACUACCGAGAGGAAUUCCCUGUGUCAUUAUUGGCACUGUGUACCAUACUCAUUACCCUGAAGGUGCCAGCGAUAAGGCGAUGUUGGAAUACUUGACAUCAACAUUGACAACUAUUGAAGGACGUUAUCCCGGGUGUGGAAUAUUACUCAGGGUAUUCGCGCCCAAUUACAUGUUGAUGGACUUGAUGGAAAGUCAAAUAAGGAUAUUGCCAACCUUAUAAAUACUGCCCUUCUAGAACCGAUGCAUGCAGGAAUAUCAAUCACUUGACAGUCUUCCUCCCGUUGAUAAUGAUGCGGAAGUUCUAACGCUUGAUGAGUCUUCAGUUUACUCAGCAUUAGUAAGGCUAAAUCCUCGAAAAGCCUCUGGUCCAGACGGCGUGCCGAACUGGCUCCUUAAAGAUUAUGCCGAGUUUCUCACGAACCCAGUCUGUGUUAUCCUGAACAGUUAAUUUGCUGAACAAUCCCUCCCUCUGUCAUGGAAGUACGCCAAUGUAACACCACUACCAAAGACGAAACCUGUGACUGUAAUUACCAAGCACAUCAGACCUAUCUCGCUAACUCCGUCUCUAUCAAAACUAGCUGAGGACUUUAUCGUAAGAUAUUAUAUUGGCCCUGCCGUCCUUGAGAUCAUUGAUCCCAACCAAUAUGGCGCUAUCCCAAAAUCAUCUACUACGCAUGCCGUUAUUUCCAUGAUUCAUACAUGGGCUUCUGCCACUGACGGGACAGGUGCAGCAGUAAGGAUGGUGUUGCUAGACUACAGGAAGGCAUUUGAUCUCAUCGAUCACCGGAUCUUAGUUAAAAAGAUCCUUUCCCUGAAUGUUCCACGCAGUGUAGUUCGCUGGGUAUGCGACUUUUUAUCGAACAAUCUGCAACGCGUCAAACUGUCCAACGAUUGCUUCUCCGAAUGGGGUGCAGUUCCAUCUGGAGUUCCACAGGUUACGAAAUGAGGACCAUGGUUAAUUCUUCUCAUGAUCAAUGACCUUAAACCAUCCGAAGGGCACUCGUGGAAGUACGUAGACGACACGACAUUAACCGAGGUUGUCCCAAGAAAUAGCCAAUGCCAAAUGCAGAGUAAUGGAGAAAUGGAGUAAAAACAACAAGCUCCAGUUGAACGAAGACAAGUGUAAGGAAAUGAUAGUUGACUUUAAGAAAGUGAAACAUCAGCUUAAGACCAUCAUCAAUUCCAAAGAACUCGAGCUAGUCAGCAGUGCGAAGAUAUUGGGUGUCAUGGUGUCUAACUCACUGGAAUGGAUUGACCAUGUCAACUAUGUCGUGAAGAAAGCUAACAAACGUUUGUAUUUCCUAAUUUUGCUUAGGCGUGCAAGCAUUCCUGCUGACCAUAUCUUAAAAUUGUAUUGUACUUGCAUCAGACCAGUUCUCGAGUAUUGUGCACCUGUAUUCCACCACUCAUUACCUGCAUAUUUAUGUAACGACCUUGAACGCAUUCAAAAGCGAGCGCUUUCAAUUAUAUCUCCUGGGUCAUCUUAUACAAACAAUCUUAACAAGCAUAAUAUUAGUUCUCUCAAAGACAGGCGUCAGAAACUGUGUGAAAAACUUUUCAAGACAAUAGUAUCCAACUCAGACCGCAAGGUUUAUCAACUACUGCCAUCCAAACACGAUCCCACUUACAACCUGAGGAGAGAACGUGCGUUUGAUUGUUCUACUAUACGAACCAAUCGUUCUAGAAACUCUUAUAUUUCCGCAAUGUCAAAUAAUUUAAAGAAAUAGGUUUGCUAUGAAUUGUUUUCAUAACAUAAGUCUAACUUGAACCUUAAAGAUCGUAAUGUUUAUGUAUGAAAAUAUGUGUACUGUUAGUAUUUGUAUGUGUGUAUAUGUAUAUGCAUGUGUUUAUAGACUUUAUAACGUACAGUUAAUUUAUAUGUUUUGUAAAUUUUACGCAAUUCAGCUUUUUUGGGCUGCGAUGUAAAAUCUUAUUAAAUAAUCUGUCUAAUCUAUCUAUCUAUCCCCCUGUCGAGGAUCCCUGGAAUUCUUCAGGGGGUAAAGGGUUUUGAGCUUGGAAUUCUUCAGGGGUAAAGUGUUUUGAGUUUGGAAUUCUUCAGGGGUAAAGGGUUUUGAGCUUGGAAUUUUGGAAUUCUUCAGGGGUAAAAGGUUUUGAGUUUGGAAUUCUUCUGGGGUAUAACCAUGAAAAACAUGUAUCCUCGACAAGGUGUGUGGGUGGGGGUACGGAUAUUAAAUGGAAUAGCCCAUCAUGCUGUCAAGUGGCAAUCAUUUACAAAGCAAGUCUAUAACUAAAUGUUUUACAACCUGAGGAACUUCUUAAAUCAAUUAUUUUAUAAUUUAUACAGAUGCUACAAAAACAC